This 460-nucleotide ribosomal RNA is filed under the name uncultured bacterium. Its description in RNAcentral is "partial 16S ribosomal RNA". It matches the Rfam family "Bacterial small subunit ribosomal RNA", at positions 338 to 795 of the family's 1533-position model. The record is from RNAcentral.
CCUACGGGUGGCAGCAGUGAGGAAUAUUGGUCAAUGGACGAGAGUCUGAACCAGCCAAGUAGCGUGAAGGAUGAUUGCCCUAUGGGUUGUAAACUUCUUUUAUAUGGGAAUAAAAUGUUCCACGUGUGGGAUUUUGUAUGUACCAUAUGAAUAAGGAUCGGCUAACUCCGUGCCAGCAGCCGCGGUAAUACGGAGGAUCCGAGCGUUAUCCGGAUUUAUUGGGUUUAAGGGGAGCGUAGGUGGAUUGUUAAGUCAGUUGUGAAAGUUUGCGGCUCAACCGUAACAUUGCAGCUGAAACUGGCAGUCUUGAGUACAGUAGAGGUGGGCGGAAUUCGUGGUGUAGCGGUGAAAUGCUUAGAUAUCACGAAGAACUCCGAUUGCGAAGGCAGUUCACUGGACUGCAACUGACACUGAGGCUCGAAAGUGUGGGUAUCAAACAGGAUUAGAUACCCUUGUAGUC